UACGGAGGGGGCAAGCGUUGUUCGGAAUUACUGGGCGUAAAGGGCUCGUAGGUGGCCAACUAAGUCGGACGUGAAAUCCCUCAGCUUAACUGGGGAACUGCAUCCGAUACUGGAUGGCUUGAGUUCGGGAGAGGGAUGCGGAAUUCCAGGUGUAGCGGUGAAAUGCGUAGAUAUCUGGAGGAACACCGGUGGCGAAGGCGGCAUCCUGGACCGACACGGACACUGAGGAGCGAAAGCCAGGGGAGCAAACGGG
RNAcentral lists this ribosomal RNA (253 nucleotides) under uncultured bacterium. RNAcentral describes it as "partial 16S ribosomal RNA". It matches the Rfam family "Bacterial small subunit ribosomal RNA", at positions 524 to 776 of the family's 1533-position model. The record is from RNAcentral.